GUCUAAAUAAAUAAAAAAUUUUCCAUAUAUAGAAACGAUGGUGUAUAUGUGGAAUGGCAAUUGCCAAUAGUGCCAUUACAAUUGAUAUGUCAUGGUCUCACACUUUGAUAAUAGAUAAGAUAGUACAAUAAUUAUGGUUAAAGAAAACCAAUUAUAUCACUUAAAGCCUUCCAAAACUUCACUUAAUCCUCAACCCAAUGCCUACCCUGCUUUGUUAGUAUUACAACUUUCAGCAAACCCAUUUCAACUUUUUAUUAAAUACACCCUUAUAGACUUCCCUUUCAAAAUCCCACCAAGUAAGAAGAAAAACUUCUAAAUUACUUGAAUUAAGCAGCAGACUUGUACCUACAAAGAACCUUACACAUUAAAACCCUAUCCUGAACAUAAAACCCUGGCUUCACCAUGAUUUUAACCCGGCUUGGACCAUGUGAUCUUUGCCUAU
Molecule: unclassified non-coding RNA, 442 nt
Filed under: Hevea brasiliensis (rubber tree)
Lineage: Eukaryota; Viridiplantae; Streptophyta; Magnoliopsida; Malpighiales; Euphorbiaceae
Source: RNAcentral